Molecule: long non-coding RNA, 247 nt
Filed under: Vigna radiata
Lineage: Eukaryota; Viridiplantae; Streptophyta; Magnoliopsida; Fabales; Fabaceae
Description: long non-coding RNA (VRAD_LNC008497)
Source: RNAcentral
GGUAUUUCUGUCACAAUCAAAUCAACCUUUCAAACAUCAUAAUCAUGUUCCAAGCGGAGAAAAGCAAGGAUUUCAAGCUUAUCAGAGUAUCAAUGGAGUGAAGGACAUAACUACAACCUAAACAAAGUCCAGAGAUCAAGCGAAAAAUCCAAAACUGUACCCAAGACACAACAAAAACUACCUAGAAAACAAAAAAAAAAAUUAACGCAAAAAACAAAAACUAAUCAAAGAAAAUUCAGAAUCUCCC